This 483-nucleotide ribosomal RNA is filed under the name uncultured bacterium. Its description in RNAcentral is "partial 16S ribosomal RNA". It matches the Rfam family "Bacterial small subunit ribosomal RNA", at positions 28 to 507 of the family's 1533-position model. The record is from RNAcentral.
GACGAACGCUGGCGGCGUGCUUAACACAUGCAAGUCCAACGCUGAAGCUCAGCUUUUGUUGGGUGGAUGAGUGGCGAACGGGUGAGUAACACGUGAGUAACCUGCCUCCUUCUUUGGGAUAACGCCCGGAAACGGGUGCUAAUACUGGAUAUUCACUGGUCUUCGCAUGGGGGUUGGUGGAAAGGGUUUUUCUGGUGGGGGAUGGGCUCGCGGCCUAUCAGCUUGUUGGUGGGGUGAUGGCCUACCAAGGCUUUGACGGGUAGCCGGCCUGAGAGGGUGACCGGUCACAUUGGGACUGAGAUACGGCCCAGACUCCUACGGGAGGCAGCAGUGGGGAAUAUUGCACAAUGGGCGCAAGCCUGAUGCAGCGACGCCGCGUGAGGGAUGGAGGCCUUCGGGUUGUGAACCUCUUUCGCUCAUGGUCAAGCCGCAACAAUGGUUGUGGUGAGGGUAGUGGGUAAAGAAGCGCCGGCUAACUACGUG